RNAcentral lists this ribosomal RNA (254 nucleotides) under uncultured bacterium. Its description in RNAcentral is "partial 16S ribosomal RNA". It matches the Rfam family "Bacterial small subunit ribosomal RNA", at positions 795 to 1052 of the family's 1533-position model. The record is from RNAcentral.
CCACGCUGUAAACGAUGAAUGCUAGGUGUCGGGGGUCAAACCUCGGUGCCGAAGUUAACACAUUAAGCAUUCCGCCUGGGGAGUACGGUGGCAACACUGAAACUCAAAGGAAUUGACGGGGACCCGCACAAGCAGCGGAGCAUGUGGUUUAAUUCGAUGCAACGCGAAGAACCUUACCAGGGCUUGACAUAUGGGUGAAAGACGUAGAGAUACGUCCCCUCUUCGGAGCAGCCAUACAGGUGGUGCAUGGUUGU